UAUAUGGCAAUAUAUAUCAGUGUAAAUAGAAUGCACAUAUUAGUAUAUACAUAUACAGUUAUGAACUUAUCAACGCGUAAAGGUGCAUGUACGUGCACAUACAAGUGUACAUAUACAUUUAUAAUUGUACUUAACAAAUACAAAACAACUGUAUACAUACAUGCAUAUACGUAUAGAAUAUAUAUCUGAGUGUGAGUGUGAGUGUGAGUGUAAAUGUGAGUGUGUCUGCAUGUGUGUGAGUGAGUGUGUGACCGUGUGAGUGAGUGUGAGUGUGAGUGUGUGAGUGAGUGUGUUUAGUAUAUAAAUCGGUGUACAUAAACGUUAAUAAUUGUAUAAACUGAUUAUAAAUAUAUAUGGUCAUAUACAUCAAUAUAUAUAGAAAUCUACAUAUUAGUGCACUAUAUAUAUACAGUUUACACAUGCACACAUAUCAAAAUAUACACAUCGUACAUAUAUGGACAUCACGCACGCACACACACAUAUCAACGUAUUUUUUACACGCUAAUAACUGUAUAUAUAGCUGAUAACUAACGUAUUGUACGGUUAUAUGCAUCAGUAUAUAUAUAUACAUACACUGAAAAUAAUAGUAUAUACUACUAUACAUCAAUACAUACACAAAUUGUGCUAUACAUUGGUGUACACAUAAACCGUUUAUACAUAUGAACAUGAGUGUGCGAAUAAACAUAUCACUGUAUAUAUACGUUAAUAACUAUAUAAACUGAUAAGGGUGUUUAUAUAUAAAUGUUUGUAUGCACUAUCACUGCGUAAUGGUGCAUGUGUAUAUGCAUAUCAGUGCAUGUAUAACUGAUAGCAAGUUUAUACAUACAUGCAUAAACACUUCAGUAUAUACAUGUCGUAUAUAUACACACUGUAUAUAUAUACAAACUGAUAAUAAGGGUCUAUAUGGUCAUAUAUAUCAGUCUAUAUUAUAAACAUGCACAGCAUAUAUGCACUUAUCAACACGUACGAGUGCAUGUGCGUGGGAAUAUCAUGUGUAUACAAACAUUGAUAAUUGUAUAUAACUGCUAGCAAUCAACUGUAUAAAAUGAAGCUCGCAAGAUCAAGAUCUCAAAUAUGAAUAACAUAAAGAGAUCUGCCUCGAUAAAAAGCUGCUUUCAAUGUUGUUGAUUUACAAGCAAACUCGAUGAAGAUGAAACUCAUCAACAAUAAGAAAAACAAGUAUAAAUAAGAAAAAAAAUUUAGAUAGUCUAUCAUAAUUGGGUAUUUAGCGUACCCAAUUCAUCAAGAGAAGAAACCCAUUCUUAUGCCUAAUUCUAUGUAAAGAAAUACGAAAUUUUGCCUCGGCUUAUUUGAUUGGAGGUGAUAGCCAGUGUGUGUAUGUGCGAGUGUGCGUAUGUGUGACUGUGAGUGUGAGUGUGAAUGUGAGUGUGAAUGUGAAUGUGAGUAUGUGAGUGUGUAGUACAUAAAUCAAUGUACAUAUACUAUAGAAACUAAUAAUAAAAUGAAGCUUGCAAGAUCAAGAUCUCAAAUACGAAUAACAUAAAGAGACCUGCCUCGAUGAUAAGCUGCUUUCAUUCUUGUUGAUUUACAAGCAAACUUGAUGAAGAUGAAACUCAUCAACAAUAAGAAAAACUAGUAUAAAUAAGAAAAAAAAAUUAGAUGGUCUAUCAUAAUUGGGUAUUUAGCGUACCCAAUUCAUCAAGAGAACAAGCCCAUUCUUAUGCUUAAUUCUAUGCAAAGAAAUAUGAAAAUUUGCCUCAUCUUAUUACUAUAUAAAUUAAUAAUAAGUGUAUAUACUAUAUAAACUAAUAAUAAGUGUAUAUCUGGUCAUAUACAUCAACGUAUAAAGAAAUGUAUAUAUUAACGAACUAUAUACAUACAGUAAUGAACUUUAUACAUACACAUCAGUAUAUACAUAUCGUAU
RNAcentral lists this long non-coding RNA (1885 nucleotides) under Amborella trichopoda. RNAcentral's name for it is "long non-coding RNA (ATRI_LNC004333)". The record is from RNAcentral. Lineage: Eukaryota; Viridiplantae; Streptophyta; Magnoliopsida; Amborellales; Amborellaceae.